UAUUGGUGGAGCGAGUUGUCUUCAGAGCACGAAUCAGAUCUUCCAGCCACUGCUACCUCUCACCUGAUCCUCAUUACCUCCUCGUUAAGCAGUGCAUAAAGACAGCAGCUUUCUCUCCACUCCUUGCCAGAUCGCCUGCGCUACGUUGCUGUUCCUACCUCCUGCUUAACUCCGUGGUACCACCUCCCAGCUGUGUUCCUCGCCGCCAAGACCUUCCUGUCCUGACUGUCUGGAGUCAGUCGACCAGCUUCUUGUCUCGUCCUGCUACGCCACACUCUCUGCCUCCUGCCUGUCCGUCCGGCUCUGCCCUCCUGGUCCCCUUGCCGUGUUUCCAGCCUCGCCAGUCAGCUCCCUGUUCCCAUCCAGUCUCUACCAGUUCCUUUACCUCCCUUGUAUUUGCUAUAGUUGUUGUUAAUAAACUUAUCGCCCCGUA
Trichomycterus rosablanca is the source of this 433-nucleotide long non-coding RNA. RefSeq lists it as uncharacterized. The transcript has 2 exons. The record is from RefSeq and is a predicted model, not a curated record. Lineage: Eukaryota; Metazoa; Chordata; Actinopteri; Siluriformes; Trichomycteridae.